AAGGUGGCUCAGUGGUAGAGUGCUUGCCUCAUAUGCAUGAGGCCCUGGGUUCGAUUCCUCAGCACCUUA
This 69-nucleotide transfer RNA is filed under the name Dipodomys ordii (Ord's kangaroo rat). It matches the Rfam family "tRNA". From Rfam's summary of the family: Transfer RNA (tRNA) molecules are approximately 80 nucleotides in length. Their secondary structure includes four short double-helical elements and three loops (D, anti-codon, and T loops). Lineage: Eukaryota; Metazoa; Chordata; Mammalia; Rodentia; Heteromyidae. The record is from Rfam by way of RNAcentral.